Molecule: ribosomal RNA, 253 nt
Filed under: uncultured Ectothiorhodosinus sp.
Lineage: Bacteria; Pseudomonadati; Pseudomonadota; Gammaproteobacteria; Chromatiales; Ectothiorhodospiraceae
Description: partial 16S ribosomal RNA
Rfam family: Bacterial small subunit ribosomal RNA
Source: RNAcentral
UACAGAGGGUGCGAGCGUUAAUCGGAAUUACUGGGCGUAAAGGGUGCGUAGGUGGUUACGUAAGUUAGAUGUGAAAGCCUCGGGCUCAACCUGAGAAUUGCGUUUAAUACUGUGUAGCUAGAGUGUUGUAGAGGUAAGUGGAAUUUCCGGUGUAGCGGUGAAAUGCGUAGAUAUCGGAAGGAACACCAGUGGCGAAGGCGACUUACUGGACAAUAACUGACACUGAGGCACGAAAGCAUGGGGAGCAAACAGG